GGUUUAUGGCUCAGUGGUAGAGCAUUCACCUAGCACACGUGGGGCACUGGGUUCGAUCCUCAGCACCA
This 68-nucleotide transfer RNA is filed under the name Marmota monax (woodchuck). Its description in RNAcentral is "tRNA.Ala". Lineage: Eukaryota; Metazoa; Chordata; Mammalia; Rodentia; Sciuridae. The record is from RNAcentral.